UGUAAAUAAUUUUCGUUGUUUUCACAGUUUUUUACUGUUUUUCUCGACAGUUUCUUACUGUAUAAGUUGUUUACAGUUUGUUACUAUAGAUUUGUUGUUUCCACAGUAUUUUAAUGUAUUUUCAACAGUUUUUUACUGCAUAAGCUUUGUACAGUAGGCUACUGUAGUUUUCCAAUGCAUUAUGGGAAAUAUUACUCUGAAUACAGUAUUACCAACCAACUGCAAAACACAAUGACAAACGUCUAUUUAUAUCUUAAAUGCUUAAUUUUUUUGUGAGAUAUUUGUUUUAAUGUCUGUUUUCACAUCAGAUGCUCGGUGUGUUCCUUUAACAUAAAUCAGGUGCCUUUUCUGAGGCUUUAAUGAAAUCACCAGCCAAUUCAAUAGACAUACCAUCAGUUCUUAAUAUUGUUGCCUCUGGGUCACAAAAUGUAUUUUUAAGAUUAGUUUAGGCGAUAAUAUAUAUGUAUAAUCUUCAAAUAACAGUCGAUUAGUUAAAAAAGCGCUAAUUUUAGAAUUUGAUUAAACAAAUGCGGAGGGUUCAGGCGCGAGUCGGUCACGUGAUGUGCUCCUCAGUUCUGUCAGUAGGGGGAGUGGGAGAACGCGUGUGUGUCGUCGUAUCUGUUCUGCUCAUCUAGCGCGUAUUUCUUUAUUAAUAUCUGCUGGGUGAAUAUUAAUACGUAUAUGCUAACAUUAAUUUUGUGACCACAAAAUGACAGCGAUCUAUUAUACGAGAUAUUGUGUCGUCGUGUUUGUCUUCACUCACUUCAUCAUUAUCUGGUAAGUGCUAUAUGCAAUAUCUGGUAUGAGACUUUAUUGGCACUAAAGGGUUCUUUCGGCUAAAUUUUACUUAAUUUCUGUCAUAACAGCAAACAACUUCUGCAACUACACAAUGAUUGUCUGCCUGUGUGCAAAAUAAAGCACGUUCACUGUGUAAAACCCCGCGCAGGGCAUUUUCAAAUUAACGGUCAGGGCGAGUCUGAGCUUAUCGUGUUGUGUUGACAGAGACUUUGCUGAGGUAAGUAAGAGAAAGAAAUUAAUGUGUUAAAUAAAUAACGUUAUAAACUUGAAUUAUGUUGUGCCAGAAUACGUUGUUUAAUGAAUAUCUGUGGAAUAGGUUUAAAAUAAUACAUUAAUGACUGAACGUGAACUUGACUGAACAUUAUGGCAGCUAGAAGUAUUGAAAAGACGUAUAAUAGAUUUAACAAUGUUUUAUCUUCUUUAUUAGUGUAUGUAAAUCUGGGCUACAGUCCACGACAAAUUUUCUACGGUAGUUUUACGCCUGCAUGCUGGUCCUUUCGUCUAUCGCGGGGAUAUCAUCACUUCAGCGGCCAUCGCACUGAAGAGAUCCUGUGCUUGCGUGGCGGUGUGUUUGUGUGCUCACUUGGAUUGAGACCAGCAGUGCUUUUUUAAACAGUGGAUUCUUUAUGACAUCAAGAUGUGGUUUGGGAAGGACCUUCAUCUAAAUCUGAAGACAGGACAUACUGGCUCAAAAAGCGUUUGGUCAGGAACUGCCUAUACACUUGAAAAAUGCACAGAACUGGAACAGCACAUCAGUUGGGAGCACAUUAACAAGGAUGAAAUUUAUCCAAUAAUUAUUUUAAUAUUUAUAGGUAAGCAACUACUUGCUGAGUGUAUUUAAUGAGUGUGUAUUAAUCUCUUACAGCUCCCAUACUUAGUACAGUAUAUUUUAAUCAGUGUGGCAAUAACUUGUGUUUUAUUUUUAUGUUUACACAGGUGUUUCUGAUAUGGAGAAAAACCCUGCACUGCUCAUUUUAUUUCUUCAUCUUGAGAAUACAGCAAGUUUACCUUUUGUCUGGAAAAUGAUUCAGCAAAGCUAACACCAACAACAAUUUUUCAAUGCACUUUAAACCACCUUGAUGUGAGGAGCCAGAGGAUGGUGUCAAUAUCCUGAAAGUGGAGGUAACAGAGGUGGAUCUCGAGACUUGGCCAUGUUCUAGAUUAUAACUGGAUUAUCACAAGUGCUGUCGCCCCUGCUGUAUAUGACGCCCCCACCACCUACACCAGGUGUAGGAAAUGUCGGUCCUGGAGUGCCGUUGUCCUGCAGAGUUUUGCUCCAGCUCUAAACAAACACACCUGAACAACUAGAUCUGAAGAGUCACCAGAAAACUACAGGUAGGCGAGGUUUUAUCAGGGUUGGAAAUGAAAUCUGCAGGAUUUCGGCACUCCAGGACCGACGUUGCCUACUACUGACCUACACCUUCAUCCUGCCACCACCACCCAUACUACCUACAAAAAACUGUAUUGUAAUUAUGCUUUUCACUGUAUUGUAUGAUGUGGUUUUCUCAUUUAGGGUAACUACACUAUGGCAACAAUUGGAUACAUUGAUUGCUGACUGAUUUUGUUAUUUUUUCUUUACUUUUUGUUUAAAAUCUAAUCAUUUUUUUGUUAUUUUUGUUAAUAUUGUUACAAAUAUACAGUUAAAACUGCACAAUAAAUUUUCUGCUUUUAAA
Molecule: non-coding RNA, 2471 nt
Organism: Paramisgurnus dabryanus
Lineage: Eukaryota; Metazoa; Chordata; Actinopteri; Cypriniformes; Cobitidae
Source: RefSeq, a predicted model, not a curated record